Schistosoma mansoni is the source of this 45-nucleotide non-coding RNA. NCBI's taxonomy places the organism in Eukaryota, Metazoa, Platyhelminthes, Trematoda, Strigeidida, Schistosomatidae. The record is from Rfam.
AUCCAGUUGACUAAUCCCAAAUAGGAUGAAAGGUGCGUCCUGGAU